RNAcentral lists this ribosomal RNA (305 nucleotides) under uncultured bacterium. Its description in RNAcentral is "bacterial SSU rRNA". It matches the Rfam family "Bacterial small subunit ribosomal RNA", at positions 337 to 640 of the family's 1533-position model. The record is from RNAcentral.
CCCUACGGGGGGCAGCAGUGAGGAAUAUUGGUCAAUGGUCGGGAGACUGAACCAGCCAAGCCGCGUGAGGGAGGAAGGUACAGAGUAUCGUAAACCUCUUUUGUCAGGGAACAAAGGCGGGGACGUGUCCCCGGAUGAGUGUACCUGAAGAAAAAGCAUCGGCUAACUCCGUGCCAGCAGCCGCGGUAAUACGGAGGAUGCGAGCGUUAUCCAGAUUCAUUGGGUUUAAAGGGUGCGCAGGCGGUCUGUUAAGUCAGCGGUCAAAGCCCGGGGCUCAACCCCGGCCCGCCGUUGAAAAUGGCAGU